GCGCAGCAGUCGCGAAAACUUCACAAUGUGCGAAAGCACGAUGAGGGAAUCCCAAGUGCUUGCACGUAAGUGUAAGCUGUUUCUCUGUCUAAAACGCAGAGAGAGUAAGGGCUGGGUAAGACGGGUGCCAGCCGCCGCGGUAAUACCUGCAGCUCGAGUGGUGACCGUUAUUAUUGGGCCUAAAACGUCCGUAGCCGGUUUAAUAAAUGCCUGGGUAAAUCGGACCGCUUAACGGUUCGAAUUCCGGGUAGACUGUUAAACUUGAGACCGGGAGAAGUUAGAGGUACUCCUGGGGUAGAGGUGAAAUUCUGGUAAUCCUAGGGGGACCACCAGUGGCGAAGGCGUCUAACUAGAACGGGUCUGACGGUGAGGGACGAAGCCCU
RNAcentral lists this ribosomal RNA (383 nucleotides) under uncultured microorganism. Its description in RNAcentral is "bacterial SSU rRNA". It matches the Rfam family "Archaeal small subunit ribosomal RNA", at positions 330 to 713 of the family's 1478-position model. The record is from RNAcentral.